AGUGAACGCUGGCGGCAGGCCUAACACAUGCAAGUCGAACGGCAGCACAAGAGAGCUUGCUCUCUGGGUGGCGAGUGGCGGACGGGUGAGGAAUGCAUCGGAAUCUGCCCAUUUGUGGGGGAUAACCUCGGGAAACCGGGACUAAUACCGCAUACGACCUACGGGUGAAAGCAGGGGAUCUUCGGACCUUGCGCAGAUGGAUGAGCCGAUGCCGGAUUAGCUAGUUGGAGGGGUAAAGGCCCACCAAGGCGACGAUCCGUAGCUGGUCUGAGAGGAUGAUCAGCCACACUGGGACUGAGACACGGCCCAGACUCCUACGGGAGGCAGCAGUGGGGAAUAUUGGACAAUGGGCGCAAGCCUGAUCCAGCCAUGCCGCGUGUGAAGAAGGCCUUCGGGUUGUAAAGCACUUUUGUUGGGAAAGAAAAGCAGCCGGUUAAUACCCGGUUGUCAUGACGGUACCCAAAGAAUAAGCACCGGCUAACUUCGUG
This 488-nucleotide ribosomal RNA is filed under the name uncultured bacterium. RNAcentral's name for it is "partial 16S ribosomal RNA". It matches the Rfam family "Bacterial small subunit ribosomal RNA", at positions 29 to 507 of the family's 1533-position model. The record is from RNAcentral.